CAGCAGCCGCGGUAAUACGAAGGGUGCAAGCGUUACUCGGAAUUACUGGGCGUGAAGCGUGCGUAGGUGGUGGUUUAAGUCCGUUGUGAAAGCCCUGGGCUCAACCUGGGAAUUGCAGUGGAUACUGGGUCACUAGAGUGUGGUAGAGGAUAGUGGAAUUUCCGGUGUAGCAGUGAAAUGCGUAGAGAUCGGAAGGAACAUCUGUGGCGAAGGCGACUAUCUGGGCCAACACUGACACUGAGGCACGAAAGCGUGGGGAGCAAACAGGAUUAGAUACCCGUGUAGUCCCUGUCUCUUAUAC
RNAcentral lists this ribosomal RNA (301 nucleotides) under uncultured bacterium. Its description in RNAcentral is "partial 16S ribosomal RNA". It matches the Rfam family "Bacterial small subunit ribosomal RNA", at positions 509 to 807 of the family's 1533-position model. The record is from RNAcentral.